ACUGCCUGAAGCUGCUGAACUCAAAGAAGAAGGGUCUAACUUUCCCCCACCUGGGGUCUUGGAACCAGAAGACUGUGCCACAGACUGUUUCACUUUCCCUUCAAUUAUUGCACUAGCCUCCAUUCUCCGGGCCAUAUCCACUAUGGCAUGGAAACUCUCCCUCUCUGCUGACUGGAUCAAGGAGGAAUACCUGGAAUGAAGCCUCAUGAUAUACCUCCUAGCCUUCUUCUGAUCUGUGUCAAGAUUUUGCCCGGCAAACGGCAACAGCUCCAAGAACCUAUCUAUGUACUCAUCUACACUCAUCUCCUCUGUCUGCCUUAGCUGUUCGAACUCAAUCAUCUUCAACUCCCUUGAACUAUCAGGGAAAGCCCAUCCUGCAAACUCAUUAGCAAACUCUUCCCAUGAUA
Molecule: long non-coding RNA, 407 nt
Filed under: Manihot esculenta (cassava)
Lineage: Eukaryota; Viridiplantae; Streptophyta; Magnoliopsida; Malpighiales; Euphorbiaceae
Description: long non-coding RNA (MESC_LNC002004)
Source: RNAcentral